CCAAUAGCGUAUACUAAAGUUGUUGCAGUUAAAAAGCUCGUAGUUGAACUUCAGGCCUGGCUGGACGGUCCGCCUUCCGGGCGAGCACUGUCUGUGGUCGGGUCCUACCUUCUGGCGAAGCGUCAUGGCCUUAACCGGCCGUGGCGGGGAACCAGGACUUUUACUGUGAAAAAAUUAGAGUGUUCAAAGCAGGCAAUUUCGCUUGGAUACAUUAGCAUGGACUAAUUGAAUAGGACAAUGGUUCUAUUUGUUGGUUUCUAGGACUGUUGUAAUGAUUAAUAGGGAUAGUUGGGGGCAUUAGUAUUCAAUUGUCAGAGGUGAAAUUCUUGGAUUUAUUGAAGACUAACUACUGCGAAAGCAUUUGCCAAGGAUGUUUUCAUUAAUCAAGAACGAAAGUUAGGGGAUCGAAGACGAUCAGAUACCGUCGUAGUCUUAACCAUAAACUAUGCCGACUAGGAAUCGGGCGAUGUUGACAAAAUGACGCGCUCGGCACCUCAUG
This 499-nucleotide ribosomal RNA is filed under the name uncultured Glomeromycotina. RNAcentral's name for it is "partial small subunit ribosomal RNA". It matches the Rfam family "Eukaryotic small subunit ribosomal RNA", at positions 591 to 1092 of the family's 1831-position model. Lineage: Eukaryota; Fungi; Glomeromycota. The record is from RNAcentral.